AUGGGACAAUUAUAUACAGUGCCAAUGGCUAAUAAUUCUCUUGUUUCAUGUCUCAUUUCUUUUAUACAGGCUUUAACCAGACGUGCUGCUGCAUUCACCGUUGAUGUUCGCGAAAGAUGCUGCAUUUCUCGGGGGAAUGUCAACAACAUAGUGGCAGAAGUGCAACAGUUUCAAUUUGCCCUUUUGGAAAACCUGCGAGAGAGAGUAAGGAAUGUUUUUGAAAGACAUGGACAUAUGGACAACAUAGAGCAGCUUCGUAAUGAGACAAUGGCAACAAUUGUUGACUUUCCCGAUCCUUUCGCCUCCUUGACCACGAGUUACAUGCAGGACCAAACUAUUAAAGAACUUUUUCAUCCAGUUGAACCUGAAGAGGUCAUCAUCUCACAGAAGCUCUGUAGAGUUAAGAGAGGUGGAACAAGGGUACUUAAAACUAGGAACAUUUGUUUUUAUUAUGUGCCUCUCAUCAAAAGUUUGGAACAAUUUCUGUGUAACCCGAGAAUAUCCAAUAUGAUUCAUCACCCAACAAACUGUAGCAAAGAUGGCUUUCUUAAAGACAUUGUUAAUGGAAGCCUUUUCAAAACUCAUCCUUUAUUUUCUGUUAAGCGCACAGCAUUACAGUUAAUUUUAUAUUCAGAUGAAAUCGAAAUCUGCAAUCCUCUUGGUGCACAUGCUUCUGUUAACAAACUACUGAUGUUCUAUUACUCAUUAGGAAACAUUGAGCCAAAAUUUAGAUCAAAGCUUCCAGCCAUAAGACUUCUCGCAAUUGCGAAAGCUAAGGAUAUUUCAGAGGCUGGUGUUGAUGUUAUUUUGGAGCGAAUCGAAAAGGAUUUAAAGAAGCUUUACAGUGGUACAAGAGUCAAAACUGGAAGCACGGAAACAAAUAUCUUUGGUGCUGUAAUAUCAGUAUGUGGGGAUACCCUUGCUCAGCACGAUCUAGCUGGGUUUAAAUCUGGGGUUGGUUUUGCUUUUAGCAAGUGCAGGCAUUGUGAGUGUGACUUUAACAGUAUGCAAAGCAACUUUGACGAGAAUGAUUUUACCCCAAGAACAUUACAAAAUCAUAUCAGACAGUGUGAAGAAAUAGAGAGGGCCAGUACAGAAUUUCUUAAAAAAUCCCUAAUGACCACUUAUGGCCUUAAUAGAAGGAGCAAACUUGUCGAUUUCCCAGCUUUUGAUUUAAUCCGGCAAACCCCACAGGAUAUAAUGCAUGUCUUACUUGAGGGUGUGGUGCCCUAUGAAAUGAAAUGCGUGUUAAAGGCUCUCAUUUUGUCUGGAGACACUGAAUUGGACUCCAUAAACACAGGUAUACAAGGCUUUUCUUAUUCACCGGUUGAUGUACGCGACAAACCAUGCCCCAUCACUGUAAAUACUUUAUCCUCAAAUGAUAACAAACUUAAACAGUCUGCAGGGCAGAUGUUGGUGUUCAUGAAAAUAUUUCCAUUUAUUGUAAACAGCAUCAGUACUAAUGUAUAUGUUCAGUUUAUAAUAGGAUUACUUGAAAUAUCUCAGAUCAUAUUUUCCCCAGUUAUAGCCAUUGAAACAUUGGAAAAACUCAGGAGGAUGAUUGAACAACACCUAAAAGAGUUUACUAAUCUUUUCCCUGCCAACAACAUAACUCCCAAACAGCAUUAUAUGAUACAUUUUCCUUCACAAAUUGAG
Long non-coding RNA from Gouania willdenowi (blunt-snouted clingfish), 1656 nucleotides. The record is from Ensembl. Lineage: Eukaryota; Metazoa; Chordata; Actinopteri; Blenniiformes; Gobiesocidae.